AAUAAAUGAGCUGAUGAGAGCAAUUUUCUGCUUCCUGGGCCACCACAGUCUUCUUUGCUGUUUUUGAUUGCAACCAUUUUCAGAGAAGAAUCAACACCAAAGAUCAUCAAGCCAUGUAGCAAUUGAGAUAAAGACCUAACAUGAAGAAUUCUAUUCUGAGAUCCAGAAGAAAUGAAUCACAGACCCAGUUUGUUUCUUUUCGCAUCUUUGUCAUACUGAAUACACACCUAGCCUUCUCAAGUCUUUGGUUACUUAGCGUGUUCAGAGUAUGCUGACCACAGUCAUAGAGAGAAAAAACAAGUUUUAUGUUAGUACCUGACUCCACUGAAAGAUGUGCCAUUUAAAAAGUCCUAAAAGACCUUUUUAAUAAUGACAUUGUAUUUAUUUUAGAAUAAAAUUUAAAAUUAAAA
This 410-nucleotide long non-coding RNA is filed under the name Homo sapiens (human). Its description in RNAcentral is "HSALNT0138771". Lineage: Eukaryota; Metazoa; Chordata; Mammalia; Primates; Hominidae. The record is from RNAcentral.